This 1343-nucleotide ribosomal RNA is filed under the name uncultured bacterium. RNAcentral describes it as "16S ribosomal RNA". It matches the Rfam family "Bacterial small subunit ribosomal RNA", at positions 28 to 1378 of the family's 1533-position model. The record is from RNAcentral.
GACGAACGCUGGCGGCGUGCUUAACACAUGCAAGUCGAACGGAAAGGCCCUGCUUUUGUGGGGUGCUCGAGUGGCGAACGGGUGAGUAACACGUGAGUAACCUGCCCUUGACUUUGGGAUAACUUCAGGAAACUGGGGCUAAUACCGGAUAGGAGCUCCUGCUGCAUGGUGGGGGUUGGAAAGUUUCGGCGGUUGGGGAUGGACUCGCGGCUUAUCAGCUUGUUGGUGGGGUAGUGGCUUACCAAGGCUUUGACGGGUAGCCGGCCUGAGAGGGUGACCGGCCACAUUGGGACUGAGAUACGGCCCAGACUCCUACGGGAGGCAGCAGUGGGGAAUAUUGCACAAUGGGCGGAAGCCUGAUGCAGCAACGCCGCGUGCGGGAUGACGGCCUUCGGGUUGUAAACCGCUUUCGCCUGUGACGAAGCGUGAGUGACGGUAAUGGGUAAAGAAGCACCGGCUAACUACGUGCCAGCAGCCGCGGUGAUACGUAGGGUGCGAGCGUUGUCCGGAUUUAUUGGGCGUAAAGGGCUCGUAGGUGGUUGAUCGCGUCGGAAGUGUAAUCUUGGGGCUUAACCCUGAGCGUGCUUUCGAUACGGGUUGACUUGAGGAAGGUAGGGGAGAAUGGAAUUCCUGGUGGAGCGGUGGAAUGCGCAGAUAUCAGGAGGAACACCAGUGGCGAAGGCGGUUCUCUGGGCCUUUCCUGACGCUGAGGAGCGAAAGCGUGGGGAGCGAACAGGCUUAGAUACCCUGGUAGUCCACGCUGUAAACGGUGGGUACUAGGUGUGGGGUCCAUUCCACGGGUUCCGUGCCGUAGCUAACGCUUUAAGUACCCCGCCUGGGGAGUACGGCCGCAAGGCUAAAACUCAAAGGAAUUGACGGGGCCCCGCACAAGCGGCGGAGCAUGCGGAUUAAUUCGAUGCAACGCGUAGAACCUUACCUGGGUUUGACAUGGAUCGGGAGUGCUCAGAGAUGGGUGUGCCUCUUUUGGGGUCGGUUCACAGGUGGUGCAUGGCUGUCGUCAGCUCGUGUCGUGAGAUGUUGGGUUAAGUCCCGCAACGAGCGCAACCCUUGUUCACUGUUGCCAGCACGUUAUGGUGGGGACUCAGUGGAGACCGCCGGGGUCAACUCGGAGGAAGGUGGGGAUGACGUCAAGUCAUCAUGCCCCUUAUGUCCAGGGCUUCACGCAUGCUACAAUGGCUGGUACAGAGAGUGGCGAGCCUGUGAGGGUGAGCGAAUCUCGGAAAGCCGGUCUCAGUUCGGAUUGGGGUCUGCAACUCGACCUCAUGAAGUCGGAGCCGCUAGUAAUCGCAGAUCAGCAACGCUGCGGUGAAUACGUUCCCGGG